AGUGAACGCUGGCGGUAGGCCUAACACAUGCAAGUCGAACGGCAGCACAGUAAGAGCUUGCUCUUACGGGUGGCGAGUGGCGGACGGGUGAGGAAUACAUCGGAAUCUACUUUUUCGUGGGGGAUAACGUAGGGAAACGUCCGCUAAUACCGCAUACGACCUACGGGUGAAAGCAGGGGAUCUUCGGACCUUGCGCGAUUGAAUGAGCCGAUGUCGGAUUAGCUAGUUGGCGGGGUAAAGGCCCACCAAGGCGACGAUCCGUAGCUGGUCUGAGAGGAUGAUCAGCCACACUGGAACUGAGACACGGUCCAGACUCCUACGGGAGGCAGUAGUGGGGAAUAUUGGACAAUGGGCGCAAGCCUGAUCCAGCCAUACCGCGUGGGUGAAGAAGGCCUUCGGGUUGUAAAGCCCUUUUGUUGGGAAAGAAAAGCAGCAGGUUAAUACCCCGCUGUUCUGACGGUACCCAAAGAAUAAGCACCGGCUAACUUCGUG
RNAcentral lists this ribosomal RNA (492 nucleotides) under uncultured bacterium. RNAcentral's name for it is "partial 16S ribosomal RNA". It matches the Rfam family "Bacterial small subunit ribosomal RNA", at positions 29 to 507 of the family's 1533-position model. The record is from RNAcentral.